GUAGUCCACGCCGUAAACGAUGGAUGCUAGCCGUUGGCGGGUUUACCCGUCAGUGGCGCAGCUAACGCUUUAAGCAUCCCGCCUGGGGAGUACGGUCGCAAGAUUAAAACUCAAAGGAAUUGACGGGGCCCGCACAAGCGGUGGAGCAUGUGGUUCAAUUCGACGCAACGCGAAGAACCUUACCAGCUCUUGACAUGUCUCGUAUGGAUUUCAGAGAUGAGAUCCUUCAGUUCGGCUGGCGAGAACACAGGUGCUGCAUGGCUGUCGUCAGCUCGUGUCGUGAGAUGUUGGGUUAAG
This 297-nucleotide ribosomal RNA is filed under the name uncultured bacterium. RNAcentral's name for it is "partial 16S ribosomal RNA". It matches the Rfam family "Bacterial small subunit ribosomal RNA", at positions 790 to 1084 of the family's 1533-position model. The record is from RNAcentral.